RNAcentral lists this ribosomal RNA (497 nucleotides) under uncultured bacterium. RNAcentral's name for it is "partial 16S ribosomal RNA". It matches the Rfam family "Bacterial small subunit ribosomal RNA", at positions 28 to 507 of the family's 1533-position model. The record is from RNAcentral.
GAUGAACGCUGGCGGCGUGCCUAAUACAUGCAAGUCGAGCGAACAGACGAGGAGCUUGCUCCUUUGAUGUUAGCGGCGGACGGGUGAGUAACACGUGGAUAACCUACCUAUAAGACUGGGAUAACUUCGGGAAACCGGAGCUAAUACCGGAUAACAUUUUGAACCGCAUGGUUCAACAGUGAAAGACGGUCUUGCUGUCACUUAUAGAUGGAUCCGCGCUGCAUUAGCUAGUUGGUAAGGUAACGGCUUACCAAGGCAACGAUGCAUAGCCGACCUGAGAGGGUGAUCGGCCACACUGGAACUGAGACACGGUCCAGACUCCUACGGGAGGCAGCAGUAGGGAAUCUUCCGCAAUGGGCGAAAGCCUGACGGAGCAACGCCGCGUGAGUGAAGAAGGUCUUCGGAUCGUAAAACUCUGUUAUUAGGGAAGAACAAAUGUGUAAGUAACUGUGCACAUCUUGACGGUACCUAAUCAGAAAGCCACGGCUAACUACGUG